Molecule: long non-coding RNA, 226 nt
Organism: Phyllostomus discolor (pale spear-nosed bat)
Lineage: Eukaryota; Metazoa; Chordata; Mammalia; Chiroptera; Phyllostomidae
Exons: 4
Source: RefSeq, a predicted model, not a curated record
ACGCUCUAGAACAGCCGUGUCCAAUAGACACCCAAUAAAGAUGAGUUCCAUGAAGAUGGGAAAACCAUCUGCUCCUUCUUUUGGGUCAUCUUUCUUUUGGGUCCUGUACCUCACACCACCAAGAGCGAACCCUACCCCUGGUGGAGGAUGCUGGUCAUUGAAGAGGCUGUGCACGUGUAGGGGCAGAAGAGAGAGGGGAAGGGAGAGAAAGAAACAUUGAUUCGAG